GACGAACGCUGGCGGCGUGCUUAACACAUGCGAGUCGAACGGAAAGGCCCUGCUUUUGUGGGGUGCUCGAGUGGCGAACGGGUGAGUAACACGUGAGUAACCUGCCCUUGACUUUGGGAUAACUUCAGGAAACUGAGGCUAAUACCGGAUAGGAGCUCCUGCUGCAUGGUGGGGGUUGGAAAGUUUCGGCGGUUGGGGAUGGACUCGCGGCUCAUCAGCUUGUUGGUGGGGUAGUGGCUUACCAAGGCUUUGGCGGGUAGCCGGCCUGAGAGGGUGACCGGCCACAUUGGGACUGAGAUACGGCCCAGACUCCUACGGGAGGCAGCAGUGGGGAAUAUUGCACAAUGGGCGGAAGCCUGAUGCAGCAACGCCGCGUGCGGGAUGACGGCCUUCGGGUUGUAAACCGCUUUCGCCUGUGACGAAGCGUGAGUGACGGUAAUGGGUAAAGAAGCACCGGCUAACUACGUG
RNAcentral lists this ribosomal RNA (468 nucleotides) under uncultured bacterium. RNAcentral describes it as "partial 16S ribosomal RNA". It matches the Rfam family "Bacterial small subunit ribosomal RNA", at positions 28 to 507 of the family's 1533-position model. The record is from RNAcentral.